RNAcentral lists this ribosomal RNA (778 nucleotides) under uncultured Oscillospiraceae bacterium. Its description in RNAcentral is "bacterial SSU rRNA". It matches the Rfam family "Bacterial small subunit ribosomal RNA", at positions 1 to 807 of the family's 1533-position model. Lineage: Bacteria; Bacillati; Bacillota; Clostridia; Eubacteriales; Oscillospiraceae. The record is from RNAcentral.
UCGGCUUAGAGUUUGAUCAUGGCUCAGGACGAACGCUGGCGGCGCGCCUAACACAUGCAAGUCGAACGAAGGAAAUCUUCGGAUGGAUUAGUGGCGAACGGGUGAGUAACACGUGAGUAACCAACCUUCGAGCGGGGGACAACAUUUGGAAACGAAUGCUAAUACCGCAUAAGACCACGAUCGCAUGAUCUGCGGCCAAAGGAGCAAUCCACUUGAAGACGGACUCGCGUCCGAUUAGCUAGAUGGUGAGGUAACGGCCCACCAUGGCGACGAUCGGUAGCCGGACUGAGAGGUUGAUCGGCCACAUUGGGACUGAGACACGGCCCAGACUCCUACGGGAGGCAGCAGUGGGGGAUAUUGCACAAUGGAGGAAACUCUGAUGCAGCGACGCCGCGUGAGGGAAGAAGGUUUUCGGAUUGUAAACCUCUGUCUUCGGGGACGAUAAUGACGGUACCCGAGGAGGAAGCCACGGCUAACUACGUGCCAGCAGCCGCGGUAAAACGUAGGUGGCAAGCGUUGUCCGGAAUUACUGGGUGUAAAGGGAGCGCAGGCGGAAUAGUAAGUUGAAUGUGAAAACUAUGGGCUCAACCUGUAGACUGCGUUCAAAACUACUGUUCUUGAGUAAUGUAGAGGUAGGCGGAAUUCCUAGUGUAGCGGUGGAAUGCGUAGAUAUAGGAAGAACACCAGUGGCGAAGCGGCCUACUGGGCAUUUACUGACGCUGAGCUCGAAAGUAUGGGGAGCAAACAGGAUUAGAUACCUGGUAGUCAUACCGUAACG